This 93-nucleotide ribosomal RNA is filed under the name Bacillus norwichensis. Lineage: Bacteria; Bacillati; Bacillota; Bacilli; Caryophanales; Bacillaceae. The record is from RNAcentral.
CACACCCGUUCCCAUCCCGAACACGGUAGUUAAGCUCUUCAGCGCCGAUGGUAGUGAGGGGCUUCCCCUUGUGAGAGUAGGACGUCGCCGGGC